This 2815-nucleotide ribosomal RNA is filed under the name Klebsiella pneumoniae. RNAcentral's name for it is "bacterial LSU rRNA". It matches the Rfam family "Bacterial large subunit ribosomal RNA". Lineage: Bacteria; Pseudomonadati; Pseudomonadota; Gammaproteobacteria; Enterobacterales; Enterobacteriaceae. The record is from RNAcentral.
GAUAUGAACCGUUAUAACCGGCGAUGUCCGAAUGGGGAAACCCAGUGCAAUUCGUUGCACUAUCGUUAACUGAAUACAUAGGUUAACGAGGCGAACCGGGGGAACUGAAACAUCUAAGUACCCCGAGGAAAAGAAAUCAACCGAGAUUCCCCCAGUAGCGGCGAGCGAACGGGGAGCAGCCCAGAGUCUGAAUCAGCUUGUGUGUUAGUGGAACGGUCUGGAAAGUCCGACGGUACAGGGUGAUAGUCCCGUACACCAAAAUGCACAGGCUGUGAACUCGAAGAGUAGGGCGGGACACGUGGUAUCCUGUCUGAAUAUGGGGGGACCAUCCUCCAAGGCUAAAUACUCCUGACUGACCGAUAGUGAACCAGUACCGUGAGGGAAAGGCGAAAAGAACCCCGGCGAGGGGAGUGAAAAAGAACCUGAAACCGUGUACGUACAAGCAGUGGGAGCACCUUCGGGUGUGACUGCGUACCUUUUGUAUAAUGGGUCAGCGACUUAUAUUCUGUAGCAAGGUUAACCGUAUAGGGGAGCCGCAGGGAAACCGAGUCUUAACUGGGCGUUAAGUUGCAGGGUAUAGACCCGAAACCCGGUGAUCUAGCCAUGGGCAGGUUGAAGGUUGGGUAACACUAACUGGAGGACCGAACCGACUAAUGUUGAAAAAUUAGCGGAUGACUUGUGGCUGGGGGUGAAAGGCCAAUCAAACCGGGAGAUAGCUGGUUCUCCCCGAAAGCUAUUUAGGUAGCGCCUCGUGAACUCAUCUUCGGGGGUAGAGCACUGUUUCGGCUAGGGGGUCAUCCCGACUUACCAACCCGAUGCAAACUACGAAUACCGAAGAAUGUUAUCACGGGAGACACACGGCGGGUGCUAACGUCCGUCGUGAAGAGGGAAACAACCCAGACCGCCAGCUAAGGUCCCAAAGUCAUGGUUAAGUGGGAAACGAUGUGGGAAGGCACAGACAGCCAGGAUGUUGGCUUAGAAGCAGCCAUCAUUUAAAGAAAGCGUAAUAGCUCACUGGUCGAGUCGGCCUGCGCGGAAGAUGUAACGGGGCUAAACCAUGCACCGAAGCUGCGGCAGCGACACUAUGUGUUGUUGGGUAGGGGAGCGUUCUGUAAGCCUGCGAAGGUGACCUGUGAGGGUUGCUGGAGGUAUCAGAAGUGCGAAUGCUGACAUAAGUAACGAUAAAGCGGGUGAAAAGCCCGCUCGCCGGAAGACCAAGGGUUCCUGUCCAACGUUAAUCGGGGCAGGGUGAGUCGACCCCUAAGGCGAGGCCGAAAGGCGUAGUCGAUGGGAAACAGGUUAAUAUUCCUGUACUUGGUGUUACUGCGAAGGGGGGACGGAGAAGGCUAUGUUAGCCGGGCGACGGUUGUCCCGGUUUAAGCAUGUAGGCUGGUUAUCCAGGCAAAUCCGGAUAAUCAAGGCUGAGGUGUGAUGACGAGGUACUACGGUGCUGAAGUAACAAAUGCCCUGCUUCCAGGAAAAGCCUCUAAGCAUCAGGUAACAUUAAAUCGUACCCCAAACCGACACAGGUGGUCAGGUAGAGAAUACCAAGGCGCUUGAGAGAACUCGGGUGAAGGAACUAGGCAAAAUGGUGCCGUAACUUCGGGAGAAGGCACGCUGGUGUGUAGGUGAAGUCCCUGCGGAUGGAGCUGAGACCAGUCGAAGAUACCAGCUGGCUGCAACUGUUUAUUAAAAACACAGCACUGUGCAAACACGAAAGUGGACGUAUACGGUGUGACGCCUGCCCGGUGCCGGAAGGUUAAUUGAUGGGGUUAUCCGUAAGGAGAAGCUCUUGAUCGAAGCCCCGGUAAACGGCGGCCGUAACUAUAACGGUCCUAAGGUAGCGAAAUUCCUUGUCGGGUAAGUUCCGACCUGCACGAAUGGCGUAAUGAUGGCCAGGCUGUCUCCACCCGAGACUCAGUGAAAUUGAACUCGCUGUGAAGAUGCAGUGUACCCGCGGCAAGACGGAAAGACCCCGUGAACCUUUACUAUAGCUUGACACUGAACAUUGAGCCUUGAUGUGUAGGAUAGGUGGGAGGCUUUGAAGCGUGGACGCCAGUCUGCGUGGAGCCAACCUUGAAAUACCACCCUUUAAUGUUUGAUGUUCUAACGUUGGCCCCUGACCGGGGUUGCGGACAGUGUCUGGUGGGUAGUUUGACUGGGGCGGUCUCCUCCCAAAGCGUAACGGAGGAGCACGAAGGUUAGCUAAUCCUGGUCGGACAUCAGGAGGUUAGUGCAAUGGCAUAAGCUAGCUUGACUGCGAGCGUGACGGCGCGAGCAGGUGCGAAAGCAGGUCAUAGUGAUCCGGUGGUUCUGAAUGGAAGGGCCAUCGCUCAACGGAUAAAAGGUACUCCGGGGAUAACAGGCUGAUACCGCCCAAGAGUUCAUAUCGACGGCGGUGUUUGGCACCUCGAUGUCGGCUCAUCACAUCCUGGGGCUGAAGUAGGUCCCAAGGGUAUGGCUGUUCGCCAUUUAAAGUGGUACGCGAGCUGGGUUUAGAACGUCGUGAGACAGUUCGGUCCCUAUCUGCCGUGGGCGCUGGAGAAUUGAGGGGGGCUGCUCCUAGUACGAGAGGACCGGAGUGGACGCAUCACUGGUGUUCGGGUUGUCAUGCCAAUGGCACUGCCCGGUAGCUAAAUGCGGAAGAGAUAAGUGCUGAAAGCAUCUAAGCACGAAACUUGCCCCGAGAUGAGUUCUCCCUGAGACUUUAAGUCUCCUGAAGGAACGUUAAAGACGAUGACGUUGAUAGGCCGGGUGUGUAAGCGCAGCGAUGCGUUGAGCUAACCGGUACUAAUGAACCGUGAGGCUUAACCUU